GACAACCGCCGCGAUGUCCCAAUAAGCACUCAUUACCCCGAAUGUCGAUCGAAACCCCGCAAGGCUUAGCAUCAACUUCCGCAUCUCCCCGGUGAGCGACAGUUAUUAAAUCUCGCAUUUCAAGAAAUCAUAAGUUGUUUCCAACUCAAAACAAUAAAAAUAUUAUUUUCUAGCUCACUGGGGCAUUUUCAUCAUUUUUUUUUUUGAAAUUUUGAAAUCCGUAAAAAUGUAAUAUGUAAGUGGAAACACGUAUUUCAUGAUUUAAAUUAAAUUUUGAAGUCUAAAACAUUCGUUUAAAGUAAAAUUAUAGCUAUUUGAAUAUAAUAAAAACAUUAAAUAAAA
This 342-nucleotide long non-coding RNA is filed under the name Theobroma cacao (cacao). RNAcentral's name for it is "long non-coding RNA (TCAC_LNC006072)". Lineage: Eukaryota; Viridiplantae; Streptophyta; Magnoliopsida; Malvales; Malvaceae. The record is from RNAcentral.